RNAcentral lists this unclassified non-coding RNA (281 nucleotides) under Hevea brasiliensis (rubber tree). The record is from RNAcentral. Lineage: Eukaryota; Viridiplantae; Streptophyta; Magnoliopsida; Malpighiales; Euphorbiaceae.
UUCCCUUCACUUAAAAUCAUCUAAGUGACACGAUCCCUAACAUGGUACCACAUCAACUUGGUAUCAGAGAAAAACGUCAUGUAGGACAGCAAUUCCAUCAUGCAUCAAAUAAAGGUCUUCAUGAAACAAUGCCAAGAAGACAGGCAGCAAGAUCGCAAGGAAAGGGAGCAAGAACAUUUGUUCUGGACAGCCAAGAACCAUGAAUUGACCACAAGGCUAUAGACUCUUUCGCAUAACUCACUUCAAUGCGUCUGAAGCAUGGUUUCAAAUCACGGUCGCGG